GUCGAGCGGUAAGGCCCUUCGGGGUACACGAGCGGCGAACGGGUGAGUAACACGUGAGUAAUCUGCCCUUCACUUUGGGAUAACUACCGGAAACGGUGGCUAAUACCGAAUAUGACCCCCUUCUGCAUGGUUGGGGGUGGAAAGCUCCGGCGGUGGGGGAUGUGCUCGCGGCCUAUCAGCUUGUUGGUGAGGUAAUGGCUCACCAAGGCUUCGACGGGUAGCCGGCCUGAGAGGGUGACCGGCCACACUGGGACUGAGACACGGCCCAGACUCCUACGGGAGGCAGCAGUGGGGAAUAUUGGACAAUGGGCGAAAGCCUGAUCCAGCAACGCCGCGUGAGGGAUGAAUGCCUUCGGGUUGUAAACCUCUUUCGCCUGCGACGAAGCGAGAGUGACGGUAGCAGGUAAAGAAGCACCGGCCAACUACGUGCCAGCAGCCGCGGUAAUACGUAGGGUGCGAGCGUUGUCCGGAAUUAUUGGGCGUAAAGGGCUCGUAGGCGGUUUGUCACGUCGGGAGUGAAAACUCAGGGCUUAACUCUGAGCUGGCUUCCGAUACGGGCAGACUAGAGGUAUGCAGGGGAGAACGGAAUUCCUGGUGUAGCGGUGAAAUGCGCAGAUAUCAGAGGAAC
This 628-nucleotide ribosomal RNA is filed under the name Nocardioides jensenii. RNAcentral's name for it is "bacterial SSU rRNA". It matches the Rfam family "Bacterial small subunit ribosomal RNA", at positions 61 to 707 of the family's 1533-position model. Lineage: Bacteria; Bacillati; Actinomycetota; Actinomycetes; Propionibacteriales; Nocardioidaceae. The record is from RNAcentral.